Polypterus senegalus (gray bichir) is the source of this 472-nucleotide long non-coding RNA. RefSeq lists it as uncharacterized. The transcript is spliced from 3 exons. Lineage: Eukaryota; Metazoa; Chordata; Cladistia; Polypteriformes; Polypteridae. The record is from RefSeq and is a predicted model, not a curated record.
AGCAUGUGGCUGAAUCUGAAAUCAGUUAAAAAUAUGAAUUGUUUUCUCAGUAUUUUGCAUUGACUGCAGAACACCAGAAUAAAAUACAAAGAAGUGCAAGAUAUGAAGGUUAACCACUUUCCUCUAAUGUUGAAAGAAACUCAUUUGAUAUCGUCCCUUGCAAAAUUCAAAAGUAAACAUUAUUAGUUCUUUUUAACUGAGUAGAGCAGGAUCUGCCAUACUACCUUCAAUGACUUAAAAUAGCGGAGCUACUCAGUGAAAAUGAUCAGAACUCACAAGGUUGAAUAUCUAUCCUAAAAAAGAGAAGAGACUUAAAGAAUAAGGGAAAUCAUUUAAAGGAACACAGUGAAAACCUUCGGACAAGCAGAAGAUGACCAGAAGUCAGCUAGAAGAGACCACACUCAGGAACACAGUGAAAACCUUCGGACAAGCAGAAGAUGACCAGAAGUCAGCUAGAAGAGACCACACUCAG